AACGAACGCUGGCGGCAUGCCUAACACAUGCAAGUCGAACGAGACCUUCGGGUCUAGUGGCGCACGGGUGCGUAACGCGUGGGAACCUGCCCUUAGGUUCGGAAUAACUCCCCGAAAGGGGUGCUAAUACCGGAUAAUGUCUUCGGACCAAAGAUUUAUCGCCUUUGGAUGGGCCCGCGUUGGAUUCGCUAGUUGGUAGGGUAAAAGCCUACCAAGGCGACGAUCCAUAGCUGGUCUGAGAGGAUGAUCAGCCACACUGGGACUGAGACACGGCCCAGACUCCUACGGGAGGCAGCAGUGGGGAAUAUUGGACAAUGGGCGGAAGCCUGAUCCAGCAAUGCCGCGUGAGUGAUGAAGGCCGGAGGGUUGUAAAGCUCUUUUACCCGGGAUGAUAAUGACAGUACCGGGAGAAUAAGCUCCGGCUAACUCCGUG
Molecule: ribosomal RNA, 433 nt
Filed under: uncultured bacterium
Lineage: Bacteria
Description: partial 16S ribosomal RNA
Rfam family: Bacterial small subunit ribosomal RNA
Source: RNAcentral